UAGCGAUUUCUUCGACGCGGGUCUAU
Molecule: small RNA, 26 nt
Filed under: Bombyx mori (domestic silkworm)
Lineage: Eukaryota; Metazoa; Arthropoda; Insecta; Lepidoptera; Bombycidae
Description: piRNA piR-bmo-1316486
Source: RNAcentral